GAUGAAGAACGUAGCGAAAUGCGAUAAGUAAUGUGAAUUGCAGAAUUCAGUGAAUCAUCGAAUCUUUGAACGCACAUUGCACCCGCCAGUAUUCUGGCGGGCAUGCCUGUUCGAGCGUCAUUUCAACCAUCAAGCCCCCGGCUUGUGUUGGGGACCUGCGGCUGCCGCAGGCCCUGAAAACCAGUGGCGGGCUCGCUAGUCACUCCGAGCGUAGUAAUACAUCUCGCUCAGGGCGUGCUGCGGGUUCCGGCCGUUAAAAGCCUUAUUUACCCAAGGUUGACCUCGGAUCAGGUAGGAAGACCCGCUGAACUUAAGCAUAUCAAUAAGCGGAGGA
RNAcentral lists this unclassified non-coding RNA (334 nucleotides) under soil metagenome. RNAcentral's name for it is "partial contains 5.8S ribosomal RNA, internal transcribed spacer 2, and large subunit ribosomal RNA". The stretch from base 1 to 120 matches the Rfam family "5.8S ribosomal RNA", at positions 35 to 154 of the family's 154-position model. The record is from RNAcentral.